GCAGCGGACGGGUGAGUAACGCGUGGGCAAUCUGCCCUCUAGUUUGGGAUAACAGUUCGAAAGGACUGCUAACACCGAAUAAUCUUAAAUUUGGGCAUCUAAAUUUAAGGAAAGUUAACGCUAGAGGAUGAGCCCGCGUCCCAUUAGCUAGUUGGUGAGGUAACGGCCCACCAAGGCAACGAUGGGUAGCCGACCUGAGAGGGUGACCGGCCACACUGGGACUGAGACUACGGCCCAGACUCCUACGGGAGGCAGCAGUAGGGAAUUUUCCGCAAUGGGACGAAAGUCUGACGGAGCAACGCCGCGUGAGGGAUGAAGGUUUUCGGAUCGUAAACCUCUGUCCGUUGGGGAAGAUAAUGACGGUACCCAAGGAGGAAGCCACGGCUAACUACGUGCCAGCCGCGGC
This 406-nucleotide ribosomal RNA is filed under the name uncultured bacterium. Its description in RNAcentral is "bacterial SSU rRNA". It matches the Rfam family "Bacterial small subunit ribosomal RNA", at positions 95 to 518 of the family's 1533-position model. The record is from RNAcentral.